Molecule: unclassified non-coding RNA, 87 nt
Filed under: Pseudomonas migulae
Lineage: Bacteria; Pseudomonadati; Pseudomonadota; Gammaproteobacteria; Pseudomonadales; Pseudomonadaceae
Source: RNAcentral
UGUAGGAGCCGGCUUGCUGGCGAUGCAGGCAACUCGGUGUAAUGUGUUGACCGAGUUGAUGCUAUCGCCAGCAAGCCGGCUCCUACA